CCAGUGGCAUAGGAGCUGAGGAGUGUGACAAGCUGGCUGCUGACUGUGCCCACGAGCUGUGGCGCCAUGGGGUCAGCUGUGUGUCUCUGUGGCCGGGGAUUGUGCAGACAGAACUGCUGAAGGAGCAUAUGGCAAAGGAGGAGGUCCUGCAGGAUUCUGUGUUGAAGCAGUUCAAAUCAGCCUUCUCAUCUGCGGAAACCACAGAAUUGAGUGGCAAAUGUGUGGUGGCUUUGGCAACAGAUCCCAAUAUCCUGAGCCUGAGUGGUAAGGUGCUGCCAUCCUGUGACCUUGCUCGACGCUAUGGCCUUCGGGAUGUGGACGGCCGCCCUGUCCAAGACUAUUUGUCUUUGAGCUCUGUUCUCUCACACGUGUCCGGCCUGGGCUGGCUGGCCUCCUACUUGCCCUCCUUCCUCCGUGUGCCCAAGUGGAUUAUUGCCCUCUACACUAGCAAGUUCUAACCCUCCUGGUCUGACACCACGUCUGUUUGUCUUCUCAUUUGGGCUUGGUGGUUUGUCCUAUCUCAAUGAAACAGCAGCCUUUCUUGCUUACCCAUACCCUUGAUAUGAAGAGAAGCCCUCUGCUGUGUGUCCGUGGUGAGUUCUGGGGUGCGCCUAGGUCCUUUCUUUGUGCCUUGGUUUUCCUUGUCCUUCUUUUUACUUUUUGCCUUAGUAUUGAAAAAUGCUCUUGGAGCUAAUAAAAAUCUCAUUUCUCUUUCAA
RNAcentral lists this small RNA (717 nucleotides) under Pan troglodytes (chimpanzee). RNAcentral's name for it is "processed transcript". The record is from RNAcentral. Lineage: Eukaryota; Metazoa; Chordata; Mammalia; Primates; Hominidae.